RNAcentral lists this ribosomal RNA (528 nucleotides) under uncultured Cytophaga sp. RNAcentral describes it as "bacterial SSU rRNA". It matches the Rfam family "Bacterial small subunit ribosomal RNA", at positions 11 to 534 of the family's 1533-position model. Lineage: Bacteria; Pseudomonadati; Bacteroidota; Cytophagia; Cytophagales; Cytophagaceae. The record is from RNAcentral.
GUUUGAUCCUGGCUCAGGAUGAACGCUAGCGGCAGGCCUAACACAUGCAAGUCGAACGGUAACAUGAGAGCUUGCUCUUGAUGACGAGUGGCGCACGGGUGCGUAACGCGUAUACAAUCUACCUUUUACAGGAGGAUAGCCUUUAGAAAUGAAGAUUAAUACUCCAUAGUAUUAUUGAUUGGCAUCAAUUAAUAAUUAAAGCUUCGGUGGUAAAAGAUGAGUAUGCGUUCUAUUAGCUAGAUGGUGUGGUAACGGCACACCAUGGCAACGAUAGAUAGGGGCCCUGAGAGGGGGAUCCCCCACACUGGUACUGAGACACGGACCAGACUCCUACGGGAGGCAGCAGUGAGGAAUAUUGGACAAUGGAGGCAACUCUGAUCCAGCCAUGCCGCGUGCAGGAAGACUGCCCUAUGGGUUGUAAACUGCUUUUAUACAGGAAGAAACCUCCCGACGUGUCGGGAUCUGACGGUACUGUAAGAAUAAGGAUCGGCUAACUCCGUGCCAGCAGCCGCGGUAAUAAGGGCGAAU